Molecule: long non-coding RNA, 703 nt
Organism: Maniola jurtina (meadow brown)
Lineage: Eukaryota; Metazoa; Arthropoda; Insecta; Lepidoptera; Nymphalidae
Exons: 3
Source: RefSeq, a predicted model, not a curated record
GUCACCUGGAACUUAAGAGCCCCCGCAGACUUACAAUUGCAAGUUGGGCAACUAAAUCGCAGAGUAUACAAAUAAGCACAGUGACUUAUGACAUCCCGCACAUCUUAUCCAACUAAAUUGUUCAACUAAAUAAUUGGACAUCGAUUGUAUCAGAAUCGAAAUUCCCUUCCGAUUACGUACAACUAAAAAGUUGGCCAACUAUUGGCCGACAGCUUAUUAGCACAGGGACCCUAUACAAGCUCGCGGACUAUCCAACUUAGUUGGUCAGUCGCACGGCAAGAUGCAUGAGGACAGCACGUGUGCACGUGAUUUCCCCGCGCCCGGACCAUCGACGACGGGCAAAACAAACGGCAAAAGUUGUGUCCUGUUUGAAUAUCGCUGGACCAAUUAAAUAUACAAGCUCAUCAAAAGAAGGAGUACUCAUUCUGUAGUAUGAAAAAAAUUUAUCUGGGUAACAUCUCAGUUUAGAAUGCAAGAUAUGAUGUUGUCCAUGUUCUAAUCUAUCACUUAAUACAGGGUGAACCCAAAAAGUUCUCUUCUGUUUUCGUCUUGUUUUUAUUAAUAUGGCAAUGAGAGCGUUUUUUUCCGCAUUUUCACGCACACGUCACCGCGCUAGCAACACUCUCACCGACUAAAUCAAUUUAGUCUGCGUUAGUCUGCGUCUAACAACCGAUACGAUAUAGUUGGCCGAUUAAAUUGUGAA